Nycticebus coucang (slow loris) is the source of this 461-nucleotide long non-coding RNA. RefSeq lists it as uncharacterized. The transcript has 2 exons. The record is from RefSeq and is a predicted model, not a curated record. Lineage: Eukaryota; Metazoa; Chordata; Mammalia; Primates; Lorisidae.
AGGAGGGGAUGGCUAGCAUCCCAGCUGCAAGUGCUCUCAUUCAAGGUUUAUGCUACAGCCAGCAGUGUCCUUGGAGUCUAGUUCAAAGCUGAAGAGAACGAACUAUGGACCUGGGAGCCACUGGCCAAGGGGCCAGCCUAAAGGAAGUGAAGUGUUUCAGCCAGAAUGUACUGACGCACAACCAAGAAACCACAAGACUGGGUAACCACCAGUUGCCAUGCAUUAAAUCUCAUCAUCAUAUGGCAGGUCCAGUUAAUAGCUGAGACCAGCAGGCUAACUGAACCAUGUCCUGGGAGAUACAUGACGGAGAAAUUGGAAUAACCAUGGAGCACGUCAAAUCGAUUGCUCAGUAAUGGGAUAUUUUUCCUGAAAAGACAACAGAAUAAUUUUGAACAGCUGAUUCUGUCAUGGGCACAGGCUUCUAUGAACAGGAAAACAAAGAAAGUGUGAUGAAUUUUUCA